CUGUCACAGCCCCGUCUGUAUAUGUAACAAUAGCAAUGCCGCUCUCACAGCCUUUUAUAUAUAUGCAAAGCAGAGCCCAGAGAGAGAUAGAGAGAGAGUCAAAAGGAGCGAGAGAGAAAGUACGUUAAUGGCGGAUUCUGAAAUUUCCCGUUUUCUAAUCACUCUAUAAUUCAAAGUAAGCUUAAGCUUUGGCGAUUGAUUAGAUAUACAUAUAAAAGUAUAACAUUUAGCUGGUUUUAUGUAUUCUAUGUUCCUUUUGUGCCAAUUAUUGUUACUCGUUUAACUUUCCAUCGGUUUUGAUAUUUCGUGAUCAUUUAAUCGUUUAUGUGUAUGGUAGAGGGUCACUGGAUGCAGCGGUUCAUCGAUCUGUUCCCUACUCCUUACGAAUGAACCCACGAAAUAAUAAGAAGGAAAAAAAAAUGGAAGGUAGAAAUUUUAGAGAGAGAGAGAGAGAGAGAGAGAGAGAGAGAGAGAGGGAGAGGGAGAUGAGAGAGAAGGAAAAGGAAUCGGUCGAUAAACCUCUGCAUCCAGCGCUCACCACCACUCCCUGUUCCGUUUCUGUUUACUGUAUGUGUGUGUUACUGUGUGUGGAUAUUCGACUAUUUGUUUCUUCAUUUAUGGAGUAUUUGCAGUAAGAUUUUCUGUUUCAGAAGUUUUCUCUCUCCACACUAAUGAUUUCUACAGAAAGCUAUGAUGGAUGUUAUCGAUGCAGGUAGUGAUUCAGCUCCUUGAUUGUCUUAAUUAAUCAUAUAAUUAAUCGUUCUUGAAAUCAAAUAUCGAAUCAUUAUUUUAUUUAUGGAUUCUUCUGGUUUUCUUUUGUCGAUUUAACGAAUUUAAUAACAAUCUUUUGUUUGCCAUGUCUUAUAAUAAUGGGAGUUUGAGUUAGUUCUCAACAGCAACUCAUUCUGAUAUGAUUCUGGAUGACUGGAUCUGAAUAUUUUACUAAUUCUUUUUAAAUGAAUGUUAAUUAAUAUUAUUUUUUCAAUUUAUUUAUGCUAUGAUUCAGUGUAUUUUUUUGGUCUCAUUUGAUAGUACAAAAAUGUAUCAUGACAGUCUCGAAGUUCUAAAUUAAGUCUAUGCAAGAUUUCCAUUCAUUAUUAUUUUUGUAUCCAUUCCGGUCUAAAUUAAAAAAUCUACUACGGUUUUGUCUUUUUUAUUAAUCCAAUAUUUUGUAUGAUAUUUCACAGAAAACAAUUUUUGAUGUUUCAUUAAGAGAAUCGUAACAUGACCGAAUUGUAUUUUAGAAUAAACGUAGGGAUUUAAUUAUUUGCUUUUACUGAAAUGAUAAUUGAGAUGGAAGACUAUAGGAAAAUUACACAAAUGGUCCCUAUGGUUUAGGGUAAUUUGUGUUUUUGGUCCCUAACUUAUUUUUUGAAAUUGGAAGAUUCUUGUUUUAACUAAAAAGACUAUUUUGCUCUUGAUUUUUUAAUUUAUUUAAAUAAACAUACCCCAACCUCACCCCUCUCACUUUAUCUUAUUUACCCAACAUUUUUCAUAUUUAAAUAAUAAUCUUUUUAGGUAAGACAGAGACCAAUCGAAUAACAAAAACAAACAGUAUGAACCAAACGCGUAACAAAAACAAAUGAGUUAAAAAAUAAGUUAGGAAUCAAACACGCCAAUUACCUCAAACCAUAGAGACCAUUGGUGUAAUUUACUCAAGACUAUAUAGUGUUGGUUUUCUUUUUAUUUAAAACCCCUGUAAAUGUUUAAAUUUACCGGCUUUUCCCCCUGAAUGCAAUUGUGUUUGGCUUUUUAUAUCUUUGUCAAUUUCGUCUUUAAAUGUUUUGUAUUUUGGUUAUGUUAUUUUGCAUGUUGGGUGUGUUUUUCGAAGUUCGAAGUCUGAAAUAUUUAAUUUUGUCAAGAUCAGGAUCUUAUCAAAUAUUGUUUUAUAUGUUGCAAGAUCGUAAUCGUAAGAUCAGAUUAGGUUCAUAAGAUCCUAUCAAAAUUAACUUAUAUUCAAAUUUGCUCGUGUAAAGUCUUGCGUGUAGUAUACAUUAUAACUUGAUAUCUAGCAAGAUGUUAAUAUGGAGUCAAAUUUAACCUUUUUAACACAAAUAAUAAUUUUUGCUGCUGCAAAUCCUUAAAAUUAGAAAAAAAACAUCUUAAUUACAAAAAAAAAAAACAAGAUUAUUAUGACUUGUUCACGGUAGUUGACUUCAAGAACGAAGUCAGAGAUGCGGGAGCAUUACCCUGACUUGUUCAUGGUAGUUGACUUCAAGAACAAAGUCUAGUUGGAGGACCCAAACUCGUCGAGUUCGUUUGGAAUCAACAUUUUCUCAAAACAUGAAAGUCAUCCGAAAUUAUAUCUAGUUUAACAUUUUGAAUCUCGUCAAUCGGAGUUACGAGUCAUGAGAAAUGGCCAAAACACCGACGAGGGGUCAAGCUGUCCAACAAUAUCCUUCUUUCUUCGAAAUCCAAAUUCCAAGCUUCUAAUAGCUAAAUCUGCUUCAUUUUCCUCCCGAGCAUGUCUUCGUUGCUGAAAAUAAAAUUUUAAAGUAAUUACGUACCUUUUGUUCAUUAUUUGAGACAAAAACAACAUAAAGUAUUAAGAUAAUGCAUGAAUUUUAUAACUAAAUAUGCCCAUAUCAUUGACCUUGGAAGCUUGAAGAAGCUUUGGAUCUCGAAUCCUCAUCUAUUUAACAACCUCUAGAGGUAUAAAGUUCUGAACUUGGCUUUUAUUUCUUUAGAUCUUGUUAGCUCUUGAUUCUUUAAGCAUUUUGGUCCCAAGUCUUGACCUUUAUGAGUAUGGCAUACUCUAGCCCGUAUAAGUUGUCCUUUUAGACGUUUUGAGAUGUCUAGAAGCACAAAAAUAUGAUCUUAGCUCUUAUUUCUUCCUCAUGAAUGUGUUAGGAUGUCCUAAUGGAUUAAGAAGUUAAGGUUUGUUGGUAUUAAACACUUUUAGCCAUGCAAAGUCAUAAAGUUUCCUUUUGGGCUUAGAUAUGGAUUUGGACGUAAGGACUUGAUGUAUUAAGCUCUUAAUAAGAAGUUGAGGUGAACAGGUGCGUACGUUCGGCAUACCAAAUGGUAUGUUGCGCGUAUACGGUCAAUGCUCUGACUUCUUGGUCAAGCGGAGUACGCCCCGCAUACAGCUAAGUACGCGCAACGUACUCGAUUGGUUUGUUGACCUUGACCUUUUGACCAAGGUUGACCUAAGAGUAGUUUGGGUAUUUUAGGUCUUUUGGGAUUAUUAACUAAGCCCAGCUAACCGAUUUCGUUCAGGUGAUUGGUAGAGUUGGUGUUGGAGUUGUACUCGGUGUUGUGUACUUUUCUGCUACUCUUUAGACUGAGAGGUACUUUAGAGAAUCAUGUGAAAGCGAAGGCUUGAUCGUGCACAUCUUCCAAUUUUCAUGAUAUUGGCUUUCGAGACAUUCUGAUAUGAUUUUACUUUUGAAACAAUGGCUUUUCUUGUAAAAUAAUUAUGGAUAAUGGUUGUUUUUGAAAAUUUUAAAUUUCACUGAUUUUGGAAUGUUACAACAACGUAUCAACA
Long non-coding RNA from Lactuca sativa (garden lettuce), 3487 nucleotides. RefSeq lists it as uncharacterized. NCBI's taxonomy places the organism in Eukaryota, Viridiplantae, Streptophyta, Magnoliopsida, Asterales, Asteraceae. The record is from RefSeq and is a predicted model, not a curated record.